UUGAACGCUGGCGGCAUGCUUUACACAUGCAAGUCGAACGGCAGCGCGGGCUUCGGCCUGGCGGCGAGUGGCGAACGGGUGAGUAAUACAUCGGAACGUGCCCAGUAGUGGGGGAUAGCUCGGCGAAAGCCGGAUUAAUACCGCAUACGACCUGAGGGUGAAAGCGGGGGAUCUUCGGACCUCGCGCUAUUGGAGCGGCCGAUGGCAGAUUAGCUAGUUGGUGGGGUAAAGGCCUACCAAGGCGACGAUCUGUAGCUGGUCUGAGAGGACGACCAGCCACACUGGGACUGAGACACGGCCCAGACUCCUACGGGAGGCAGCAGUGGGGAAUUUUGGACAAUGGGCGAAAGCCUGAUCCAGCAAUGCCGCGUGUGUGAUGAAGGCCUUCGGGUUGUAAAGCACUCUUGGCGGGAACGAAAAGGACUGUGCCAAUACCACGGUUCGAUGACGGUACCCGCAGAAUAAGCACCGGCUAACUACGUG
This 483-nucleotide ribosomal RNA is filed under the name uncultured bacterium. Its description in RNAcentral is "partial 16S ribosomal RNA". It matches the Rfam family "Bacterial small subunit ribosomal RNA", at positions 29 to 507 of the family's 1533-position model. The record is from RNAcentral.